CCCUUAGAUGUUCUGGGCUGCACGCGUGUUACAAUCGGGAGUACAACAAGAUUGCAAAUCCUAGUGGAUGAGUGGUUCUUCGAAAUUUUCUGAAGACUGGGAUAGUUGAUUGAAAUUAUUCAACUCAAACGAGGAAUUCCUUGUAAUUGUAAUUCAUUAUAUUGUAAUGAAUACGUCCCUGCCCUUUGUACACACCGCCCGUCGCUCCUACCGAUUGAACGAUCCGGUGAAUUAUUUGGAGUAGCUCUGGAAGUUGCAGAACUUCCUAUGUCACGAAAUUCUGUAAACCUUAUCGUUUAGAGGAAGGAAAAGUCGUAACA
This 320-nucleotide ribosomal RNA is filed under the name uncultured eukaryote. RNAcentral describes it as "partial 18S ribosomal RNA". It matches the Rfam family "Eukaryotic small subunit ribosomal RNA", at positions 1470 to 1796 of the family's 1831-position model. The record is from RNAcentral.